RNAcentral lists this ribosomal RNA (303 nucleotides) under uncultured bacterium. Its description in RNAcentral is "partial 16S ribosomal RNA". It matches the Rfam family "Bacterial small subunit ribosomal RNA", at positions 507 to 808 of the family's 1533-position model. The record is from RNAcentral.
AGCAGUAGCCGCGGGAAUACGUAUGUCACAAGCGUUAUCCGGAUUUAUUGGGCGUAAAGCGCGUCUAGGUGGUUAUGUAAGUCUGAUGUGAAAAUGCAGGGCUCAACUCUGUAUUGCGUUGGAAACUGUGUAACUAGAGUACUGGAGAGGUAAGCGGAACUACAAGUGUAGAGGUGAAAUUCGUAGAUAUUUGUAGGAAUGCCGAUGGGGAAGCCAGCUUACUGGACAGAUACUGACGCUGAAGCGCGAAAGCGUGGGUAGCAAACAGGAUUAGAUACCCCAGUAGUCCCUGUCUCUUAUACA